RNAcentral lists this ribosomal RNA (644 nucleotides) under Salmonella enterica subsp. enterica serovar Oranienburg. RNAcentral's name for it is "partial 23S ribosomal RNA". It matches the Rfam family "Bacterial large subunit ribosomal RNA", at positions 1 to 678 of the family's 2925-position model. RNAcentral also lists the same sequence under 1 other name. The record is from RNAcentral. Lineage: Bacteria; Pseudomonadati; Pseudomonadota; Gammaproteobacteria; Enterobacterales; Enterobacteriaceae.
GGGUUGUGAGGUUAAGCGACUAAGCGUACACGGUGGAUGCCCUGGCAGUCAGAGGCGAUGAAGGACGUGCUAAUCUGCGAUAAGCGCCGGUAAGGUGAUAUGAACCGUUAUAACCGGCGAUUUCCGAAUGGGGAAACCCAGUGUGACUCGUCACACUAUCAUUAACUGAAUCCAUAGGUUAAUGAGGCGAACCGGGGGAACUGAAACAUCUAAGUACCCCGAGGAAAAGAAAUCAACCGAGAUUCCCCCAGUAGCGGCGAGCGAACGGGGAGGAGCCCAGAGCCUGAAUCAGCAUGUGUGUUAGUGGAAGCGUCUGGAAAGGCGCGCGAUACAGGGUGACAGCCCCGUACACAAAAGCGCAUGUGCUGUGAGCUCGAUGAGUAGGGCGGGACACGUGGUAUCCUGUCUGAAUAUGGGGGGACCAUCCUCCAAGGCUAAAUACUCCUGACUGACCGAUAGUGAACCAGUACCGUGAGGGAAAGGCGAAAAGAACCCCGGCGAGGGGAGUGAAAAAGAACCUGAAACCGUGUACGUACAAGCAGUGGGAGCACCCUUUGGGGUGUGACUGCGUACCUUUUGUAUAAUGGGUCAGCGACUUAUAUUCUGUAGCAAGGUUAACCGUAUAGGGGAGCCGGAGGGAAACC